CCUUUGCCCAGCGUUCUGUAACAAUGCUAAGAAUAGCUAAGAACAGCCACGAAUGCACACACCUAGCAUGCGCCUCAGGAGGCUUCCAACUCCGCCUGCUACGCAGCUCCACACCUGAAGGCACUGGUGCCAAACGCACCUUUUUAUUUUCUGCACCGGUUUUUAAUAGACUUGGGCUGCUACCAUGGGAUACCACAGCUUAAGAGGCUUAAAGGACGGACGGACAGACAGACAGACAGACAGAGGUGCAUUUGACACUUCUUCAGAGUUUUGGGUGCUGAAAACCUGAGCUGAGGGCUUUGCCCAUCCCACAAAUCCCAUAAGACAAAUCUGGGAGGCCAGCUGAUCAACAUCCACGGACCUACCUGCACCCUCCUGACACCGUGUGAAAGGGACCAGCCAGCUCAUUGUAUACCUUACCGUCGUUGACCUUUUUUGGACUCCUCGAAAGCUACUGGAGUCCAGGAAGUUACUGUUGGCAGUAAGUUAUCAGACAUUUU
Molecule: long non-coding RNA, 500 nt
Organism: Mesocricetus auratus (golden hamster)
Lineage: Eukaryota; Metazoa; Chordata; Mammalia; Rodentia; Cricetidae
Exons: 3
Source: RefSeq, a predicted model, not a curated record